CUUCACCUGCCACUUGCUCUUCAGCCUGCUCUAGUCUGUCCCUGACGUUAGGUGGAAAUGGCUUUUGUCAAAGUCACAUUGUCAGGAUGUAGCCAAUUCUGUGGUCACUUUACUCUCUUCAUUUUACUGCAUCCAAUUUAUUUCUCUCAUAAAUUAAACCACAUUUUCUCUUGGCUUCCACACCAACACCAUGCUCUCUGGAUCUGCUCCUCUGCAUUCUCCUUUGGUGCCCCCUCCAGUGUCACCAGACUCCAGCAAGGCUUCCCCUCCCCUCCCUUCUCCUUUCUUUUCCCGUCCUCCCCUCCCUCCCCUCAUCUCUAUACAUAUUCACUCUGGGUAAUUUCUUCCCCUGGCUCUAAACAGUGUAUCUAUACCAAUGAUCACAAAUCUGUAUCCUCAGUCCUGACCUCUCACCUUGUCUCCCAACUUCUGUACUCAACUACCAUCGUACCUCUUAUAUGCUUGGGGAGAUGACAGCUACUCAGUGUUCUCAUACAAAAGUUAGAACUCCUGAUAUGCUCUCCCAAAACUUCCCUAUCUCUGUGUUAUCCUGAAUUUCCUGCGUUUUCUUUACUCCCAACUACAAACACAUCACUGAUGUCAGCCUGCUCUCCCCACAAUGUGUAACCUGAAUCUGUCCUCUCCUCUCCACCUGCAUGCCACCAACCUAGCCCACCACCGCUCCACACCCUGCAGUAGCCUUCUAACUGGAAUCUUGCAUCCACUCCUGCCCCCUACUGGUUAUUCCACACACAGCAGGUGGAAUGAUGUAUUUAGGAGGGACGUGGAUCACAUCGCUCGCCCUCUCACCCCACCAGCUUCUCAUUCUCAGAAGAAAUCUAGUCUUUCUCAUGGCCCACAGGCUCACACUCUGGCCUGUGCCCGCUCUUUACUCAUCUCCUGCCGCUCUGCUUCGGGUCUGCCUUUUCUUCCCGUUCCAGCUCCUGAGCCUCCACGCUAGCUGCUCCUCUGUGGUCCCCUGCGUAUCCGUACCUCUGGCAUACAGCACAGUCUUGAAGGUUUCAUCUGCCUGGAGAUUAGCCCUGAGCUAACAUCUGCUGCCAAUCCUCCUCUUUUUGCUGAAGAAGACUGGCCCUGAGCUCACAUCCGUGCCCAUCUUCCUCUAUAUGUGGGAUGCCUACCACAGCAUGCUUGCCAAGCGGUGCCAUGUCUGCACCUGGGAUCUGAACCAGCGAACUUCCAGCCACCGAAGUGGAACGCACAAACUUAACCGCUGUGCCACUGGGCCAGCCCCCGGUUUCUCUCUUUUAAAAAGAUAACCAGAGUUUGUCUCUUGCUUCAUUUUAUUUUAAGGUUAAAAAUUUCAUUGAGGGAAAAAAUAAUAUUUGAGAAUGAACUUUUCUUUUGAGAAUUCUUUAAUUUCUUUUUUAAACCGUAGAAUCCCCUAACAUAGAAAUUAGCGCUAUAACAUACAGGGUUUCAAUUUUACUUUGUUUCAUGCAUGUAUUACACUUAGAGUGAGAAGCAUCACAGAACUUUAAAUUCAACUGAAAAAUGAAACAGAAAAAUUUUAAAUCAACCCAGUCAAACCUUCCUGCUUCAUUCUGACUUGUCUGUGGAGCACACUCAGCUUGACCAUAAUUUGUCAGGUAAAAAAGAUUGCCUAAGGUUUGGAGCUUGUUACCCAGUCUCAUAUCUCACACUCUUCUUUCCACAGUCCUUGUAUACACCUGUAAGUCCCCAGCUCCUCCAAAUGCUCUUUGACCCAGCUUCACCAUCUCUCUGGUUCCCACGCUGAUGAGUUCAUACAGCUUAAACCUACACUUAUUCCCUUAUUUUAUUUUUGAACGAGAGUCAUUUUGAAAAACGUUUUGAAUAUGUACUUGACACACUUUUGGACUUUGUAUCCUUGUUUUGGUGGUGGGAUAUAAGCAAUUAUUUGUCAAAGUGCCAGUGGUGUGCUUUCUUGUGUCAGACCCUUCUUGGUCCUGGGGAGAGGCCACGGACCAAAUCCUCUCUCUGCUUUGCUCUUAUAUGUGGGUAGAAUGACAUAAACUGCCAGAAUAAAAUACUUUAUUUGUUUUCAUCUUGUGCUUUUUUGCAA
This is a long non-coding RNA of Equus asinus (donkey), 2065 nucleotides long. The record is from Ensembl. Lineage: Eukaryota; Metazoa; Chordata; Mammalia; Perissodactyla; Equidae.